UGGGUUUUUCUUCUGUAUGCAGAGAAGGAAAAGGAUAAAGGACAUGCUCUGGCCUUAUAGAAUCUGGUAUCCAACCAAGGUAUUUUACCUAUCCCGAUAAGAAGCCCGACCUGAAAAAUUGGUAUUGUCUGUUACCUCAAUUGUUAAAAAUUGAGCCAGCGUACGAAGACUAGAGAGCCUAAUCAAGAGGACCAAGAGGAUGUUGUGGAGGCAUCAUUAGUGCGAACGACGAUCGAUGGAUCUCGAGACAGAAGCCAACAAAGCUGGUACUGACGAGGGCAUGCAGGUUUGUUUAUGGUGGUCAAGCGCAGUUUUUUAAUGGUGAGACCCGUUCGGAACCAAGGCAUUGAAACAAUGGUGUUG
Molecule: long non-coding RNA, 363 nt
Organism: Lolium rigidum
Lineage: Eukaryota; Viridiplantae; Streptophyta; Magnoliopsida; Poales; Poaceae
Exons: 3
Source: RefSeq, a predicted model, not a curated record